Oreochromis niloticus (Nile tilapia) is the source of this 8284-nucleotide long non-coding RNA. RefSeq lists it as uncharacterized. The record is from RefSeq and is a predicted model, not a curated record. The transcript has 4 exons. NCBI's taxonomy places the organism in Eukaryota, Metazoa, Chordata, Actinopteri, Cichliformes, Cichlidae.
UCUUCCUCUCUGUCACUGUUAUUCUUCCCCUUUAUUAAUGGAAGGCACAGUGGUGUGGUGGUGACGGCGGUGGAGGUGAUAGUGGCUCUUGGCUUGGCGUGACGCCACCGAGGGGCCCAGCACUGACACUUUAUACACCAGCAGGUUUACCAAGGUGUUCAUUUCAAGAGCAUCUCCUCUGCUUUGGCUGCUCCUCCUUUUACUCCCUUCGGCUGUGGAAGGUAAAUCAAAGCUGGGGAUGAUACAGGAGACCUUAUUCAAUCCAGACAGUUGUCUCACACAUAUGGAAACACAAACACACACACACACACACACGUAUACAAAACUACAUGCUUGUUUGCCUCUGUGCACUUGUGUGUGUAGGUGUUCUCGAACAUUCAUCAAUCCACUUCUUACCAUGUAAUCCCACAGCGCAGAUCGCUCUUUGCCUGUUUGACUCAUAAGCAGCCAGGCAGUUUAUUUUACAGCCUUUCUGCUCAAGUCGCGGCUAAGCAUAACAAUACACCAGCGGACAUGUGUUUGUCAUAAACUGGAAGGCUCAAAAUUGCAUUACAAUCGUUUACACUUUGAACAAAGUUCAAAAAGAAUCAUUGUACACCACAUUUAAUUAUGCGUUAUACUUAAUGUUCAUAAUUCACUAGUGAUUUUCCACUGCUGCUGGACACUGGAAGCCUAACUACAGCAAAAACAACAUGGGCUAAUCAACCUAAGUAAGCCUUUUAGUAACAGUAAAUGCCAAACCCUGUUUGUUAUGCUUCACAGGCCAAGUCUCUUACUUCAGGGACUCCAUCUAAGGGGCUGGAACUCAAAUAUUCUGAGUUAGUGACAUGCUACAGGCAUGGCAGUAGCAACGCAAGCCCGACUGAAUUUAUCAGACCUUUGCGAGGGGCAUAAAUGUCCAUAGGACUUUGCUAACAUCCUGUGUUGCAGAUCAAGCCAACAUUACCGUCUGGUGCACAUGGAAGAGCUCAAUUACAUAACUUAAGACUUUCAUUAGCCUCUCUGCUCCAUUGACUUCUCUGGGAAAGGUCCAGAUGUGACUUCAUGAAGGGCUCUCUCUAUGCAGAGCUCUGUUCCGCUGUGCCCCCCUUCUCAACCCCCGCAGCUGUAAGCACUCAGAAGAAACCAGCGAGAGAGGGGAGGCUGGCUGAGAGCUUUAUUAAAAAAAUCAGACACCCCAUAGACCCCCCAAUCAUGCUUCAAAAAAAAAAAAAAGAGAGAGAGAAAAGUUCCAGCCCCACCCAAAGCAGGCCUAUGGUCCCCUUCUACCCCAUAGGUCUUCUAAAGUAGGCCAAUAAGUCUUUUAGCAUGUGGUCUCCCUGUCAGCCUGAGGUGGCUGACUAGACAGGCUGCUGCUCCAGGCGCAGGGGCAGGAAGUGGGAGCCGGCCAGGAGACACUCUCUGAGAGGCUGCCCAAGUAAACAACCCUCCCCCUUCAGCACACAUGCUCAUACACAUUUCUAUGUGUUUAUAUGCUCAUUUGGAUGUGUUUAUAUAUGACUAGUAUACACACACACACACACACACACACACACACACACACACACACACACACACACAUAAUACGUCACCUCCAGAAAUUCUGACAAACUUUUACUGGGAAACAUUAUAAAUCUGAAUGGCACUGUCUCACUGUUAAUAUCAUUAUGGUUUAUGGAUGACUUUAAUUUAUUUCAGGCUUUGGUUUUGCUUAGACCACAAUGCACUUUUAAGACUGAAAACUGGAAAUAGCUGAGGGCCUUCUAAUCUAAUUAAUGGCUGUGUUGUUUGAUCGCAUGUGUGCAAGGCAUGAAUUUGUACAGCUGAGUGUGCACCACUGUGGAACGUCAUUCUAAAAUCUUAUGCCAAAGUAACAAUUUCUACAUUAAAGAGGGAGUUUGUUCUACUCAUUGCUGGCAUUUGAUAUCCAAAUCUCCUGUUGUGUGACUUCGUGUCUGAGUAUUAUGGCCGUGACGAUUUUCCAGAGCAGGGCAGCUGCUUGUGUGACUGUGUUUCUGGGAAGGCAGCGGACACAGGUGGCGAAUAGGUUAGGGCUGUGAUUUAUCGAGAGCUCUUUUGCCACGCAUUGUGCUGCGGCCUUCCUUUGGGCCUCAGUCUGCUCUCACACAUUAUAUUGAACUUGUUGCUUGUUUUUCUGUGUCGCUGAUAACAAUGAUGUUUGAUUCUCAGAGCGGAAAACCCAGAUGAGUUCCUCUCAGAGAACGAAUUUAUUGUUUCCCCAUGUGGAGCUAUUGUAUAGGUGAUUUAGCUUUUUCUUGGGUAGAUGUAGACCCCAGGAAAGAUGUUGUCUAUUGAGGUGAGUCUUAAAUCAAAGCUCUAAUCCUUAAGAGCACAUCAAUAUUAGGGUUGGGAACUUUUCUAAGUGGUUCUUCUACGCUGACUGCUUUUUUGAGGGUGGCAUCUGUAAUGUUAUCAGCGAGCAGAUAUUGGUUAUAUGCAGGAGAUGGCAAUGUGAAACUAAAGUAAGACAAAUAAGCAAUAUUAUUUAAAAUAUCAGGUGAUUGGCAGUUUAUUGCAGAUUAUUCUGAAUACUGUAAACCCCCAAGAUCUUCAGUACAACUCUAAUGUGAAGCUUAGUUUUAACUGUUAUUUAUAUUUGGUAUUUAAGGGUUAAAAAUCAGAGUCAGAUGUUUGUCUUCAGUUAUGUGAUGACUCAUUCCCUGGAUUGAUUUGGCAUGUUUGCUCAACUGAAUCUGUGGCUUCAAAAAUACAGAGCUCUAGAGGCCUCGGCUUCACUUUUUUUGGAAAUGUAAGCAAAGUUUUCAAGGCUCAUAAGUAAGGUGUCAGAACACACACCUCUGGACCAUUAUAUUGCUCUGCUUGCCAAUACAAUCUGCUUGUUAAGUGAUGACCUAUCAACCUUGUUCCAAGGUCCAAGGUUUAAGGUGUUGUAACACUUUGUCUCUUGUUUUACUUGAUAGAAACAAGCCCCUAAAAAUCAUCGGUGGUUACUCUUGGCCUCUCUGGCUUUUCAUUAGCUCUAUUCAUGUGCAACUCGUCUUUAACCUCAGUGUUUAAAAACUCACAGGCUACACUACAGACCAUUACAAACACCAGCUUAGGAGCGUGACUUUUUCAUAGCGAGUUGUCCAAACCACACAGCAACAUAUUAAUGACUAACUUGAUGUUACAGAUAGAUCAUCUUGUUUUGGUCCUUUUUCAACGUCUUUGUGCUUCUAUAUGACGAUAUUUGUCUCAGCUUGUCUAGGACCCUCAACGUGAAUGUGCAUUGAGGAAAAAAUUACCCAAAUUUAUCCAACUUAACCAUUUAAUACAUCAUCUCUUUGCUAAUGUGUUUACAUUAGCCUAACCGUAGCUCUGUAGCUAGCCACCAGGUAGCAUGUUAUAAAAGGUAAGCUAGGACAACCUCACUAACCCUACAAGGUGCCAUUUCUCUGCUAUUUAGCUUUCAAUCUUUGUUCACAUCCAAAUGGAUAUAAGAGCUGUAUGUUUUAUUUUUAUAGAAAGCUUAAGUCAUACGAUGGUGUAACAUUGGCCGAGCUAACUUCCUACCAAUUUCUUAUUCCAGUAACCUUGUAAAUCCUCUUUUUGAUGGAUGCCCUUAUGAUAAGCCUUACUGUAACUUUGGGACAACAGCCACACUGAUAAUUUUAUUGGUACUGAUAGACUCUGGAUAAUUUUUAACUCUCAUUGGAGUCUCGGUGUUCAAUUUUUGGAAAAAUUUAGACCCAGAGGUGACUAAUGAUGUCAGACUUUACGAGCAGAUUUUUUACAAGCAAUAAACAAUAGUUUUUUUUAAACACUUGACUGAAUAAAUGUACCUGUAUAUACAAGUUCAGGAAGAUGCUGAUAUAAAAUUGUACAGGUGUGUUAAUGUGUAACAUGAUAAGCACUGUGCAAAGAGUCAUAAUAACAACAAGUUCUCUGACAAACAUAAUUUAUACAGCAAUAUUCAUUUGGAGAUAGACAACAUUUGAUAACAGCCACUCAAUGAUGAUACCAGCACAAGGUAGUAACAGCAAAACCCUACUGGACCAAGCCAACCAGUGUUGUCUUUAUUGUUUGCAAAUUAAGCCUUUAAGCUGGCAGGGUAUGGUAUUUUGCAUUUUGAAAUUGACCUUAUAGUAGUCUCUGUUUAACACUUCCACAAGUCAUUUUAGGCCAAGUCACAGAGCAGUCAAGUCUGAAGUUUGAAACUUAUUUUUGUGGUUUAGGUCUGACUCAAAUUUUAGUUUCACUUCUCAGAUCCCAACUCUGAACCCAGACACACUUCACUUCUAGUAAUAAUAAUAAGAAUUUGACUCAACUGUCUAUCAUCUUCUCGUAAAGUUUACAAAGUCUCACACAAAAGUGUUUCCCACUGGGCACAAAAUGAGUCUGUCAUUGCUGAUUUAGUAAUGCCCUUAUGCCAGCAUUACUCAAGGCUUCAUGUAAAGUUAGGCUUUAAUCCUUUUUUCCUCUCUACCUGUGCGAGUGCUUGUCACAACAGGUUAGCAGGUGAAGCUUGAGGGCGAGCACAGUACAGGAGCGAGCUUGACAGGUUUCACGUCGGCCUUAUCUUGAUCGAAGACAUGCCUUGAGAAAUCUGAGCAGCAGUCAAACACUUCCAAACAAUCUGGGUUGUUUUUAAAGUAAAAUUCCUCCAUCACGAGAAGCCUCAUGCAUGCUCCUGAGGGAGCGCACUGUUAAAUGCAUGUGUGUGUUUGUCUUAGACUUACAUACGAGCGGGAGAAUGCAUGCACGUUUGUCUCGUAUGUGUGUGUACGUGUAAACGAGUGGGUGUGAGAUCUGUGGUUUCUCACAGUCAGUUCUUAUCUUCGUCCCUCUGAGUCUCAGCCAGCAGAUCAUUGUGAAAUACACACGCACACAGAGACAGAGUUCACUUUUAACUAUUCCCUAACGUCCCAAGGCCAGAUACUGUAUCUAGGGCUUGUUUACAACUCAAACAAAAAAAAACUUAUACAGUCAUGGUUAUAUUAGCAGGAGGGUAACUGAAGUCCAGACGUACUCUCUGUGUCACUCUCUCUUCAUUCUUUGUCUAGUUUUCAAACACUGUUUAAACCCUUCUGGCCAUGAAAAGGCUUCUACUUUAUCUCUUUGCUAUUUCACAAUUUUAAAAACUUUUUUAAAGUCAACAUCAUGUGAGUGCAUUUGAGUGUUAGAUUGCAGAUAGAGAUGAUCGUCUAUGUGUAGUGCAGACUUGGCCUCGGUGCAAGGACUUCCUGUAAAACUGUCACUGAUGUCAUCUUUGUCUGCUUUUACCUCUAAAAGGCCAGAGUGACUCACAGUUAGCCAACUCUGAGUCUGUCGUUCUCUAAUAUACUUCUGUAGGUGUAAGGCUGUAGGAGGAAGUUUAUUUCUAGGAGCGUGAUAUGUACGUGUAUGUAUGUGGGUGGGUGGGUGUGUGUGUGUGUGUGUGUUUGCGUGUGAGGUCAUUUAAAUCAGUAUUGAUCUAGUGAGAAACUGAAAACUGCAUUUAAGAAGUGAGAAUGAGACUGUUUUCCAGUGUCGCUGUCACCAGAGGAAACAGAUGCUGCAAAACAAAACUGAGAAUCACGUGUCAAGGGUUGCCACUUUAGCCUGAGGGGAGGAAAAGCACAUGUGACACUGGAUCCAGACACGGCUAAUAGUCAUUAUUGGGUUAAAGGUGAAUGGAGAUUGGGACUGACAGCUGAACUACAAACUUGCUUUAUCCUGUUUUGCAGGAAGCAAUGAGUGAACGAGCUUGGCGACCCCCUCCAUCCGCCACCUUCGGAGGUUCAGAAACCCACUUCCUGGUACUUCAUCUCAAGGUGCCUCUAUGCGUACACCACACAAACAGGAAACAGCCCUCUUUCAUCAGCCUCAAACUGCAUGCACUUCAUGUUCUUCUGAAAGGGUGCAGCAACGAAAAAGGUGUGCAUCACUAACGCUCACCUGAUUUAGCUUGAGAAGCCUUUCCUUUGAAUUCGUUGUUUCUUUGCUUCUUAUCUUAUUAAAACCAAAUACGCAGAACAGUUUUGAAGUGGCAACAAGUUUCCAUCGCUUUCAUCUUGCUUCAGGCUUGCACCAAAUAAGACAGUAUGUGAUGUUUUAUACUCUGUGUGGCGUCUGCAGAUACAAGAACAGUAUGCAAUAUUGGUUUUGUUUGCCAAAAAGUCCCUUACAAAGAAAUAUAGAGUAUGAUAUCUUUCAAGUGAUGUUAAUUAAGUUUUAAGACCCUUGUUUCUUAUGAACAAAUUCUUGUAGAAUUCAAAUGAAAUGCAUGCAAACAGGCUUUUUCAAAGUUUCUGAAAGGGGUAAUGCAUAGAAACAUUCAUCUGCAAUCCAAGCAAUUUUCGAUGUGUUGUUCCCAAACAGAACACCCAUCUUUGCACAGGUAAAACAUUCCAUAAAGCCACAAAAAAGAGGCCUUUUAAUAAGCAAUUACUCUCCAUCAGUAGCAUUUAAAUAUACAUGUUAUAUCACCUCAUCUUUUUAAGCUGACUCCUUAAGAGCACCUUUGUAUAACUCACUUCUAAACAAGCUGUUGCAUCGUGGUUGCUGUUGAUCAUUGCUUUAUUUUAUAGGAACCGUGAAUGCUCUUUGGUUUUGAAUGUGUUUUGCACAUAAUCAAGAACUUUCUUUGCUUUAUCGUGGCCACCAGCAUGUUUUUAGACCAUUUCCAGCUGGUCUAAAAUGGGAUGGGGGAGUAGGUUGGUGGGUGAUGAAGAAGGGAGGGACCUAAGGAUCAAGACAAGACUCCACAAGGCCCAGGUUCUCAGGGAUAAAGCAACAAGGAAGCCUCCAUGGGUCAGCUGUGAUGGGUCAGCACCCACCAUUGUAUGGAGGGAGUUCCUGUUGCUGCUCCGGUUUUUUUGCAAUCUGAGAGAAUAUAAACAUGGACAGACGGGAAGUGUCCAGAGGCCGAGGAAAUGCAGAAGCGGUGCGGAUGUUGAGUCGAGUGCAUAAAGUGGAAGUUGCUACUGAAAUCGAAUACCACUCUGCUCACAUUAAUGGUCAACUUGUGAUUGUUAUCUGUAUUUGUUCUCAAUGUAAAAACAGUAUAUAUCAAAUUAACCCCAAGGCAUAUUGUGUUGUUUAACUAUGACUGCACCGUUUAUCCCCCUUUUUACCCGAAAUAUCCUUGUGUACAUAUUGAUUAGGUCACAACCUCAGCAAAUCUGUUUUUUAUUCUUGGAAACUUUAUGGUAACAGCUCCCCCUGAUCAAUAUUUCUGCUGAAACUAAGUAUGCCAGGUCUUUGUGUAAUCAAGCCUGCUCAGACUUUGACUAUCCCCGGGUCAAUACCCCUGGCUGCUGCCUGCACAGCUCACCAAUCAACUUGCACCACAGCGAAACUCCCUUUAGUUCUGUAUUAUGCAUCGAAAAAGCACUCACCUGAUUUCAGCCUCAAAUAUAAUACUGUGUCCCACUGUUGUUAAAACCCAAGUUUCCAGACUCUGACUGUGAGUAUGAUGUUACCAAAUGUAACUGUAGUUUCUUUUUCUUCACAUUUUGGGCAAAUGGCAACAUUUAAAGUAUGCAGUAUUAAUCAUUAGCUUCCUCACAGCAAUUAUUGGAUUUUUUGAUACUGAAGAAACUUGAAUACUGAUUAAGCUCUGGAAUUGUAAGGUUUUAGAAUAAGACAGAUUUUUUUUUUUAACUCACAUUCAUGGGAAGCCCUCUAGAGUUUGAAUGGGUACCCAAAACUGAGCAUAGACGUGCCCCAUAUUUGCCCAGUUUCCCAGAACUUUUUACACACCACUCAUCACAAAGUUGAACUUUUCAAAAAAUACAGGUUUAUUGACUUAACUGCAAUCAAUACUUACAAAAAGAGAGAGAGGAAAAACAGGUUUUCAUAUAAACUCACAGAAAUUACUGUAGUGAAAAAACAUGGCUGGGAAAAAAAAUAAAAUACAUUCAACAGUUUUACUUUCUUUGUGUCAGAAUUUGUUCACCUUUUCCGAACACUCGAAGGCAACACAGAACAAGUGACUUAAGGAGAAAAGGAAAAAAAUAAAAAAAAGUUGUCCUCCAUUAUCAAAUAUAAAAAGGCAGAGAGGCCUUAGCUACCUGGAAUGUAUUAAACGAGGCACUUCCACUGAUCAAGCAUCAAGAAUCCAAUUGAAUUAAAAGAAGAUACUUUCUUCAACUCAUUUGGUCACAACUAUUGCUUGUAUAACAGACUGGGUGACAGAACAUUACUGACAGAAAACAUUUCAACACAGCCAGCCUCUGAACUGCUAGACUCUGCUAAACCAGUGAUGUUACUAAUUUUCUUUUUAGCACCCCUUUAAGUCUACCAACAACCCGAGUACUGUAGGAAUACUCCUCUUCAAAGUGGGGACAAGAGAUCAGAAAAA